This 7608-nucleotide long non-coding RNA is filed under the name Manihot esculenta (cassava). RNAcentral describes it as "long non-coding RNA (MESC_LNC002482)". The record is from RNAcentral. Lineage: Eukaryota; Viridiplantae; Streptophyta; Magnoliopsida; Malpighiales; Euphorbiaceae.
UAUCGGUAGCAGUACUGCGAACUCUGUAUGUUUAUAUGGCAUGCCAUACCCUUAUACUAACCUCGACUCCUAUUACGUUUACCAGGGCCAAGCACUAUUAAUUCAAUGUAUCAAUGUAAAAUGCAUGCCAUUUGAAGCUAUUUGAAUUCAUUUUCCAAGUUACAUAUAUCAUAUGCCAAGAUUUACAAUAUGGAAAACUCAUGGCAAAUAGUGCAAAACUUUAUUGACUUAGCAUUUUAAUGUAGAAAACUACAUUCUGCCAUAUAUUGCAUCAACUUUUCAAGUAGUUUAGAGUUAUAAUUUAACUUCAUUUUCUUCAUAAGAAAUGUACAUUUAUGUCUUAUCUUUCCAACAAGGUAUGAUUCAUGCAAUUCUGAUCAUCCUAACUUAAGUUAUGAAUUUUUCUUUACAAGCUGCUCAAUCAGGUCUUAAUCAGUCCAGUAUUAGUACCUGUUAUAGUAUCACAAAAUUAUCAGAUUCAUACAUUUCCAUACAAAUUCAAGCUUAAGUGUCUUCUACAAAGUUUUAGGUAUACUUCUUAAGAUUCAAUUGGAACUGGUCUUAACAAAUUUCACUGAGUACAAAAUUAGUUAUGGUAUCAUCAAUAGACUCUGUUCCGGAUGCACUACCACUGUAUCCAGUUUAGGUUCACUUGCAAUUUUCAUCAUCUUAAAUACAGAUUUCGAAUUUGGUCAAUUCAUAAAAGUUUUAGAUCUUUGUCUUAUCUUUCAUUUGGUAUAUCUUAGGACUAAUUUCAAUAAAUACACAAUAAGUUAUAAGGCUUCCAACACUGACUGUCCUGUUAGAACCUAUUCUGGCAGAUUUGCACUUUUAGCUCUCAUGUUAAAUUUCUUUACUCUAAGCCUUUCAAACAUCAUUUUAACAUUCAUAUAACAUAUUUAUACAGUCAAAGCAACAUUUCCAGCAAGUAAAAUCAACCCCUAAUUUCACUUAUUCAUGGCAGAAUCCAAGGAAAACAGAAAAUCAUACAAACACCAAACCUUUCUUGAAUUCCUCCUUUCUUUUCCUCUUCUAAGCUCUAGCUAUCUCCUUUCCCUUUGAUGUUCCUUCACCUAGGUCAAUUUAUGUCUUAGGAAAGGAUUGAAUAAACUAUAAAUUAAAGCUUUAUAAUUCAAAUCCAUGCAUGAAGAAAUGAGAUGAUGCUAUUUCCUACUCAUUUCUAAACUUACCUUUGAUUUUCAAGCUUGGUGUAUAUGGAACCCUAAACUUUUCUUCUUCAAUCCCUUCAAUAUAUGGCUCUUCCUUUAGAUCUUGAUCUUAGGAUGAAUUUUGGUUAAAGAAAGAAGUUGAUUUGGUGAGGUUUGGCUUGGCUUUGGUGGGAGAAAGAAAAGAAAUUCUUUGGUUUCCUAUGGUGUGAGCUACGGCAAAGUGAAAUGGAGAAGAUGACAAUCCCUUUUUCAAAUUGCUUGGUCAUUUCUUCAUCCAAUAGCUAGGUGACACAUGGAAAGUAAAAUUUGACUUUUAUAUUUUAACUUUCCAUAUUUAUACUUUAACCCACUAAACUUUUUACCAUAUUUCAAUUUAGUUUUUAAACUUUCAAUAAUCAUAGAUUGACCUACUAAAAUAUGCUUUUAGCCUUUAGAAGUCCUUUCCACUUAAGCAAGCAUGACGGAUUUAAAACAAACACCUCAAGCAAGCACGUCAGAAAACCCUAAGCACCUCCCAAAAGUGACUCGUUCCCGACUCGCUAAUCACACUGUCUACUUUAUUUCUGAAUAUGUCCGUUUCUAUAUUUGAGUUUUCUAUAAUUCAGUUAUUAGCAGAUUAGAGUUAUGCUAGUACCUCCCCUAAGUAGCUCGGGGUAAGCUAGCACCUCCCCUAAUGCCACUUACUUUAGUAGUGAAAUAGCCUAACCCAUACCUAGUGAUGUCACUGCUCUAGCUAUGGGUUUGAGGAUGUUACAAACUCGGAGGUGACCUUGUUUGGAGUAAAGGAGCCCUUUCCCUGGCGCAGACUUUAGGUAUCUUAAGAUGCGAAGUACAGCUUGCAUAUGAGUCUCGCGAGGGUCAUGCAUAAAUUGGCUGACUAAGCUAACAACAUAGGCUAUAUCCGGUCGAGUGUGUGAGAGAUAAAUCAACCUUCCUACCAAUCUCUGGUAUCUUCCAAUAUCCACGGACUUACUAGUUCCUGCUGAGAUUCUGCUGGUUUACACCCCAUCAUACCAGUUUCUUUCAACAGAUCCAGAAUGUACUUUCUUUAGGAGAUGAAAUUCCUUUUUCUGAUCUAGCCACAUCGAUACCUAGGAAAUAUUACAGUUUUUCUAGAUAUUUGAUUUUAAAUUCCUGAGCUAACAACCUCUUUAGUUGAGUCAUUUUCUCUUUGUCAUUGCCUGUCAUCACUAUAUCAUCAACAUAAACAAUAAGAAAGGUGAUCUUACCCUUGUGAUGUUUGAUAAAUAGAGUGUGAUCAGCAUUGCUUUGUUGGUAACCAAAGGACAUCAUGGCUCUGCUAAACCUGUCAAACCAAGCUCUAGGAGAUUGUUUUAGCCCACACAAAGCCUUUUUUAACCUGCACACCUUUCCUUGUGUCUUCUCAUCAGCGAACCCAAGAGGAAUUUCCAUGAACACUUCUUCCUCUAAAUCUCCAUGGAGAAAAGCAUUCUUCACAUCAAACUGUUGCAAGUCCCAAUCCAAGUUGGCUGCACAGGAUAACAAAACUCUGAUUGAGUUCAUUUUUGCAACUGGGGCAAAUUUCUCUUGGUAAUCCACUCUAUAGGUUUGGGUGAAUCCUUUAUAAACCAAUCUGGCCUUAAACUGUUCAAUUGUGCCAUCAGUUUUGUGUUUCACUGUGAACACCCAUUUACAGCCAACGAGUUUCUUCCCAGGUGGGAGAAUGACAAGCUCCCAAGUCUCAUUUUUAGCCAAUGCUUUCAUCUCUUCAAUCAUUGUUUUCUUCCAUUUAGGAUUUGCAAGAGCUUUCUUCCAAUCCUGUGGAAUAGACACAGAGAAAAUAGACAAGACAAAGGCUCUAUAGGAAGGAGAUAAGGAUUCAUAAGAAACAAAGUUAGAAAUAGGGUGUUUAGUACAAGAUCUGACCCCUUUUCUUUGUGCAAUAGGUUUAUCUAAGUCAUUGAAACAUUCAAGAGUUGUGGGUAACUCACCAGAAGAAAGAGUUGUGGGUAACUCACCAGAAGAAGAUUCAUGACUGAGUAACUCACCAGGAGAAGAUUCUUGACUCUGAGUAGACUGCAUAAUGGCUUUUUUUUGCCUUGUCUCUCCUCGAAUACCUUCUCAAAUCUAGCUUGUCCAAACGUCCAGUUCUCUCUCCCUGAUUGGACAUCUCCCCUUGUCUACUAGAACUCAAACUUUCUAGUUGAGCCAUAUCAUUCAGAAUCACAGAAUUCGGGAUCACCUCUUCUUGCUCAUUAUUCUCCCCCUGAAGAGGUGAGUGGGUGGUACUAAAGUAGGGUUCGGUUUCUUGGAAGGUAACAUCCAUACUAACUAAAUAUUUCCUAGAGGGAGGAUGAUAACACUUGUAUCCCUUCUGUGUUGGAGAAUACCCAACAAACACACAUUUAAAGGCCUUGGAAUCCAAUUUUCCUGCCGUCCUACUAUGGACAAAGCAAACACACCCAAAUACUUUUGGUGGAACAACGUAUGAAUUCUUCCCUUGUAGAACCGCCAAAGGACUCAUAAAGUCAAGGGUCUUGAGAGGCAUUCUAUUGAUAAGAUAAGCAGAUGCAAGAAUUGCAUCUCCCCAAUAUGCUUUGGGUAGAUUCAUCGUGAACAUAAGAGAUCGAGCUACCUCCAAUAUAUGCCUAUUUUUCCUCUCAGCAACGCCAUUUUGAGUACUAGUAUAAGGACAACUAGUCUGGUGUACUAUCUCAUUACUCUCCAAAUAAGUAGAAAAGCUACUAUCCAUGUAUUCUCUUCCAUUGUCAGUUCUCAAAAUUUUGACCUUAGUAUCAAAUUGAGUACAAACCAUCUUAUGAAAGGAUUGAAAACAAGAAAAGACAUCACUUUUAGCUUUAAUCAAAUAGACCCAAGUCAUUCGAGUGCAACAAUCAAUAAAGGUGACAAACCAUCGAUUACCAGACAAGGAGACAGUUUGAGUAGGCCCCCAAACAUCAGAAUGAAUAGUCGCAAAAGGAAUUUGACUUUUAUUAUGACUCAAAGGAUAGGAUGUUCUAGUGUGUUUAGCAUACUCACAAGCAUCACAAAAUAGAGAAUCAAACUGAGUUUUAGCAAACAAAUUAGGAUAAAGUUUUUGUAAGGCAAAAAAUGAUGGAUGCCCUAACCGUUUGUGCCACUGUAUUAUUUCCUGAUUGACAUCCUUAUUUUCUCCAAAAUAGGCUUGAGAUAUCGAAGAACUUGGAUCACUCUCUAACAUAUAUAAACCAUCAUGCAGCCUACCAUUGCCAAUUCUCUUUCAUGUGCGAAGAUCCUGAAUAACACAAUGAUCAGGAAAGAAUUCAAUUUUACAAUUAAGGGCAUUGGUAAUAGCACUGACAGAUAAAAGGUUGACAGGAAAGUGGGGAACAUGAAGGACAGAUGAUAAUUUAAUGUUGGAUGUGCAAAUAACAGAACCUGUUCCGGAUAUGGGAGUAAAAGAGCCAUCAGCAAUUCUGACACUAUCUUUGGUUAGAGAAGGAAAAUAAUUGAGAAAGCCUUUAGAAGAGCCUGUCAUGUGUCUAUUCGCACCAGAAUUGAUAAUCCAUGGAACAUUAUUAGGAGAGGAAGCAUUACCUGACUUUACAAAGUUAGAUGUGGUACCGGAGGACGAGGAAUCAGAGUUAGGAAUCGAGACCCUUUUACCUUCUGACAUGGUAAAGAUUUGUGAGCCGUGAAAGAAUAGGAGGUACACAAGGUUGUACACACAAGAGAGCCCAACCGAUUCACCAAAAUACCGGGUAGCGGCACGGGAAGGCCGAAAAGAUGGUUGGAAUUGUCGCCGAAGUGAUUGCAGCCGCGAUGCAGCGUCAGGCGAUUGGUCACGCGCCGGGAAAGGGAGCCGCAUGAGCCUCACGUGCGGGGUUUUUCGACGUCGGAGUUGGGCAAUCGGCCGGCGACAGUUCUGGUGCCGGCAAUGAGAGGAGGAAAGGCUCCUAGAUAGGUUAGUACAAAAAAAGGUAGAUCUAGGGUUUUAAAACCCUAAAGAGGAAAAAAUUAAAUUUGAACCCUAAAAUCAGGAAAGACUCUGAUAACAUGAAAAAUUUAAAGAAUUCUUGUAUUUCACUCUUAAUCUUUACAAUUGGUUUAUAUGACUAUUUAUACACAAAGAAUUAUAUCUAAACAGGAAGUAAAUAAUCAAAUAAUAAUUACAAAGAUAAUUAAAAAUCCUAAUCAAAUCAAAUCAUAUCCCUAAAAUCAGUUAGGAUUAACAAAUAAGUCAACAGAUUCAAACUGAAAUAACUGACCAAACUGAAUAAAUUCGAAAUUUCAUUUCUUUCCCCUUACCGGUUUGGUUUUAGUUUUAAGAAAUUUCAAUUAUUUUGAUUUAAUUUGAUUCGAUUUUGAUAAAAAACAUAUUAGUAACCGAAUUGAAUUAAAUAGUUAUUUUUAAAUAAUUUUGUAUGGAUGGGUAUAUAAAGUUAGAAAUUUAUUAUUAUUAUUAUUAUUUUUAUAGUUUUUAAUUUAAAAUUUAUUAUAUUUUCUGGUAUAUAUUAUUUAAUGGUUAUUAUUAAAAAAAAUAAGAUUAAAACACUUUAAUUAAAUUUUAAAAUACUGAAAAUAAAGUUUAAAAUUAAAAAUCUAAUUAAUUAAUCAAAUUAAUCACAGCGGUUCGUUUAGAUUUGAUUUUUUUUACCUUUGUUUUCACAAAUUUAUAAAAAUUAAAUUUCAGUUUAUUUAACUAGAUUUAAUUUUAAAUUCAACUUACUGAUAACACACCGAUGGAUGAUUUUCUCCUAUUGGGAUAAAAAUCACAAGGCUUGGCUUAGAGAGGAUAUUUGUGGAUGACCUUCAAUUUUUUUUCAAUUCUUUUUCUUUUGGUUUUGGCUGUUUUGGGGCAUGAAGCCAAAAUUAGAUCUAGUUGGGAUGCUCCACAUCUGAAAAUGAUGUUUUGUCAAUGAAGGUAGGUACUGGAAGUGUUGACCAUCCAUUGUUCUGAAUCUCAAGUGGAAGCCAACAUCAAAACACCCAAUCUGGAAUUCAUUAACAACAAAUGAGGGAGAAUGAAGCAAAACUAAGAACAUACAUUUACACAAAUUCUAACUGGGCACCAAUUCAAACUAGGAAAUAUACAUAAUGACCAUCCAUUGUUCUGAAUCUCAAGUGGAAGACAAUCCAUGCUUGUCUGUUGGUUCUGGACAACUCAAUAUGAUGCAAAAAUCACAGCAUCUUGUCACCCAUUUGUCUCGUAGCCUUGUUUGAGUUGCUGAAAUAUUUACUUAAGCUAAAGUUAGAUUAGCAAAUAUAAUUAUCUUGUGUUGCAGGCAGAGGUUGGUCGAAAGUAGCUGAGGGUGACAAUCUAUCUUUGCUGAAGGGACUCUCUAUUUGCUUUAGUCUGCUAUUUCUGUGGGGUGGCAUAAGGUUUAUGCUUAUAAUAUAGAUUUUGUGUAUUGGUCAAAUGGGUAGAUUCACCUAUCCAGCGCCCUCCAGCUGCCUAUUCUUGGCCCCCAAGCCCCUAACAGAGAGCAAUCUCACAGUCAACUAAGAAUCCACAAGUUGGAUUACCAACUUCUCUAAUGCCAACACUUCAUAUUCAAACAUCUCGCUUUGACACUUCAUAUAUAUACACCCCACUUAGGAGGUAUGUGCUGCAAACACACAGAAAGAAAACAAAAACGAUGGGCAAGUUUUGGGGAAGCAGCAGCUGGGGGAUUCUUGCAGUAUCUCUGCUAGUGUUGGGCGUUUUGGUGCCAGAAGGAUGUUGUCAAGACACCUCUUGCCUAAACCAGCUUGUUCCUUGCCUCAACUACCUUAAUGGAACAGAAGAUGUACCCAGUAGUUGCUGUGAUCCUCUACAAAAUGUAAUAAAAUCAGACCAACAAUGCAUAUGUAGUAUGAUAAGCAACCAAGGUAGUAAUCAAGCUGAGCAGGCUGGAAUCAAUGUUACUGAAGCUCAACAAUUGCCUGCUAGAUGUGGAAUCCAUGUCAAUCCUCUCAAUUGCCUUUCUUCUGGUAUAUAUCUUCCUUUCUUUCUUCUUUCUAUACCAUUUUCUUCUAAGAAAUGCUUAUCUGUACUCGUAUAUGAUGGAUUUCAUUCCGAAUUAAAGAAUUCACUUUUCUUUGUUAUCUAAAUCUUUUUAUGUGUUGAUUUUUUGUGCCAGGUUCUCCUAAUACCAAGAACUCAGUUGAUAAUUCUUCAGGGAUUGUGUUGUUCCCUUGUUGGAGCAUGAUGGUAGCCGCAGCUUUAUCAAUUGCUCUUCACAUUUUGUGGUGUAAAGCUGAUUGAUAGCUUAAGACUGGUCAUGGAAAUACAAGCAAAAAUGAACACUUGAGAUCAAUAGAGAGUGUGUUGAUUUUUGUUACUUUCUUAUAAUUUUCUUAUUGUUACUAUUAUUAUUUUCUAAGCAUAAAUAAGUAAAUUAUUGGUUGAGAUUCCAUAUUCCUUUCUGAUGCUUUAACCUUGUGUUUAAGUGUAAAUACAAUAUUUAAAAUCAACAUACACCCAGUAACACUUACAAACAACAAGGUUUAUAGUAAA